GUGCCAGCAGCCGCGGUAAUUCCAGCUCCAAUAGCGUAUAUUUAAGUUGUUGCAGUUAAAAAGCUCGUAGUUGGAUUUUGGUUAAGAGGGCGCGGUCGGCCGUUUGGUCUGUACUGCGUUGUCUUGACUUCCUGAUGAGGACAUGCUCUUGGUUAACGCUGAGACAUGGAGUCAUCGUGGUUACUUUGAAAAAAUUAGAGUGUUCAAAGCGGGCUUACGCUUGAAUAUAUUAGCAUGGAAUAACACUAUAGGACUCCUGUCCUAUCUCGUUGGUCUCGGGAUGGGAGUAAUGAUUAAGAGGAACAGUUGGGGGCAUUCGUAUUUCAUUGUCAGAGGUGAAAUUCUUGGAUUUAUGAAAGACGAACUUCUGCGAAAGCAUUUGCCAAGGAUGUUUUCAUUAAUCAAGAACGAAAGUUGGGGGCUCGAAGAUGAUUAGAUACCAUCCUAGUCUCAACCAUAAACGAUGCCGACUAGGGAUUGGUGGAUGUUAAUUGAUGACUUCACCAGCACCUUAUGAGAAAUCAAAGUUUUUGGGUUCCGGGGGGAGUAUGGUCGCAAGGCUGAAACUUAAAGGAAUUGACGGAAGGGCACCACCAGGCGUGGAGCCUGCGGCUUAAUUUGACUCAACACGGGAAAUCUCACCAGGCCCGGACACUGGAAGGAUUGACAGAUUGAGAGCUCUUUCUCGAUUCGGUGGGUGGUGGUGCAUGGCCGUUCUUAGUUGGUGGAGUGAUUUGUCUGGUUAAUUCCGAUAACGAACGAGACUCUGUCCUGCUAAAUAGUUGGGUCGUCCUUCGUGCGAUCCAAGUUCUUCUUAGAGGGACUGGCUGCGUCUAGCAGCACGAGAUUGAGCAAUAACAGGUCUGUGAUGCCCAA
This 876-nucleotide ribosomal RNA is filed under the name uncultured eukaryote. RNAcentral describes it as "SSU rRNA". It matches the Rfam family "Eukaryotic small subunit ribosomal RNA", at positions 564 to 1474 of the family's 1831-position model. The record is from RNAcentral.